This 433-nucleotide ribosomal RNA is filed under the name uncultured bacterium. RNAcentral's name for it is "partial 16S ribosomal RNA". It matches the Rfam family "Bacterial small subunit ribosomal RNA", at positions 29 to 507 of the family's 1533-position model. The record is from RNAcentral.
AACGAACGCUGGCGGCAUGCCUAACACAUGCAAGUCGAACGAGGCCUUCGGGUCUAGUGGCGCACGGGUGCGUAACGCGUGGGAACCUGCCCUUAGGUUCGGAAUAACUCCCCGAAAGGGGUGCUAAUACCGGAUAAUGUCUUCGGACCAAAGAUUUAUCGCCUUUGGAUGGGCCCGCGUUGGAUUAGCUAGUUGGUAGGGUAAAAGCCUACCAAGGCGACGAUCCAUAGCUGGUCUGAGAGGAUGAUCAGCCACACUGGGACUGAGACACGGCCCAGACUGCUACGGGAGGCAGCAGUGGGGAAUAUUGGACAAUGGGCGAAAGCCUGAUCCAGCAAUGCCGCGUGAGUGAUGAAGGCCUUAGGGUUGUAAAGCUCUUUUACCCGGGAUGAUAAUGACAGUACCGGGAGAAUAAGCUCCGGCUAACUCCGUG